GAUGAACGCUGGCGGCGUGCCUAAUACAUGCAAGUCGAGCGAACAGAUGAGGAGCUUGCUCCUCUGACGUUAGCGGCGGACGGGUGAGUAACACGUGGAUAACCUACCUAUAAGACUGGUAUAACUUCGGGAAACCGGAGCUAAUACCGGAUAAUAUAUUGAACCGCAUGGUUCAAUAGUGAAAGACGGUUUUGCUGUCACUUAUAGAUGGAUCCGCGCCGCAUUAGCUAGUUGGUAAGGUAACGGCUUACCAAGGCAACGAUGCGUAGCCGACCUGAGAGGGUGAUCGGCCACACUGGAAGUGAGACACGGUCCAGACUCCGACGGGAGGCAGCAGUAGGGAAUCUUCCGCAAUGGGCGAGAGCCUGACGGAGCAACGCCGCGUGAGUGAUGAAGGUCUUCGGAUCGUAAAACUCUGUUAUUAGGGAAGAACAAAUGUGUAAGUAACUAUGCACGUAUUGACGGUACCUAAUCAGAAAGCCACGGCUAACUACGUG
RNAcentral lists this ribosomal RNA (497 nucleotides) under uncultured bacterium. Its description in RNAcentral is "partial 16S ribosomal RNA". It matches the Rfam family "Bacterial small subunit ribosomal RNA", at positions 28 to 507 of the family's 1533-position model. The record is from RNAcentral.